RNAcentral lists this ribosomal RNA (482 nucleotides) under Granulicatella elegans. RNAcentral's name for it is "bacterial SSU rRNA". It matches the Rfam family "Bacterial small subunit ribosomal RNA", at positions 28 to 492 of the family's 1533-position model. The record is from RNAcentral. Lineage: Bacteria; Bacillati; Bacillota; Bacilli; Lactobacillales; Carnobacteriaceae.
GACGAACGCUGGCGGCGUGCCUAAUACAUGCAAGUCGAACGAGAGCGACCGGUGCUUGCACUGGUCAAUCUAGUGGCGAACGGGUGAGUAACACGUGGGUAACCUGCCCAUCAGAGGGGGAUAACAUUCGGAAACGGAUGCUAAAACCGCAUAGGUUCUACAGUCGCAUGACUGAAGAAGGAAAAGAGGCUUCGGCUUCUGCUGAUGGAUGGACCCGCGGUGCAUUAGCUAGUUGGUGAGGUAACGGCUCACCAAGGCCGUGAUGCAUAGCCGACCUGAGAGGGUGAUCGGCCACAUUGGGACUGAGACACGGCCCAAACUCCUACGGGAGGCAGCAGUAGGGAAUCUUCCGCAAUGGACGCAAGUCUGACGGAGCAACGCCGCGUGAGUGAAGAAGGAUUUCGGUUCGUAAAACUCUGUUGUUAGAGAAGAACAGCGCAUAGAGUAACUGUUAUGCGGGUGACGGAUCUAACCAGAAAGCC